RNAcentral lists this ribosomal RNA (587 nucleotides) under Debaryomyces hansenii. RNAcentral describes it as "eukaryotic LSU rRNA". It matches the Rfam family "Eukaryotic large subunit ribosomal RNA", at positions 51 to 654 of the family's 3401-position model. Lineage: Eukaryota; Fungi; Ascomycota; Pichiomycetes; Serinales; Debaryomycetaceae. The record is from RNAcentral.
CGGAGGAAAAGAAACCAACAGGGAUUGCCUUAGUAACGGCGAGUGAAGCGGCAAAAGCUCAAAUUUGAAAUCUGGCACCUUCGGUGUCCGAGUUGUAAUUUGAAGAAGGUAACUUUGGAGUUGGCUCUUGUCUAUGUUCCUUGGAACAGGACGUCACAGAGGGUGAGAAUCCCGUGCGAUGAGAUGCCCAAUUCUAUGUAAAGUGCUUUCGAAGAGUCGAGUUGUUUGGGAAUGCAGCUCUAAGUGGGUGGUAAAUUCCAUCUAAAGCUAAAUAUUGGCGAGAGACCGAUAGCGAACAAGUACAGUGAUGGAAAGAUGAAAAGAACUUUGAAAAGAGAGUGAAAAAGUACGUGAAAUUGUUGAAAGGGAAGGGCUUGAGAUCAGACUUGGUAUUUUGCGAUCCUUUCCUUCUUGGUUGGGUUCCUCGCAGCUUACUGGGCCAGCAUCGGUUUGGAUGGUAGGAUAAUGACUAAGGAAUGUGGCUCUACUUCGGUGGAGUGUUAUAGCCUUGGUUGAUACUGCCUGUCUAGACCGAGGACUGCGUCUUUGACUAGGAUGCUGGCAUAAUGAUCUUAAGCCACCCGUCU